RNAcentral lists this ribosomal RNA (253 nucleotides) under uncultured bacterium. RNAcentral's name for it is "partial 16S ribosomal RNA". It matches the Rfam family "Bacterial small subunit ribosomal RNA", at positions 524 to 776 of the family's 1533-position model. The record is from RNAcentral.
UACGGGGGGGGCAAGCGUUGUUCGGAAUUACUGGGCGUAAAGGGCUCGUAGGCGGCCAACUAAGUCGGACGUGAAAUCCCGAGGCUCAACCUGGGAACUGCGUCCGAUACUGGAUGGCUUGAAUUCGGGAGAGGGAUGCAGAAUUCCAGGUGUAGCGGUGAAAUGCGUAGAUAUCUGGAGGAAUACCGGUGGCGAAGGCGGCAUCCUGGACCGACAUUGACGCUGAUGAGCGAAAGCUAGGGGAGCAAACGGG